CAACUCAACUCCAGUAUUCUUACCUGGAGAAUUCCGUGGACAGAGAAGCCUGGCGGGCUACAGCGCAUAGGCUCGCCAAGAAUCAGACACGACUGAAGUGUCUUAGCACAUAUACAACCAAGAGAUUUAUUUUACAACUAGCGAAGGGGGCUUCAUGGAACAAGGCAGAGUCUCAAAAUGUUGGCUUUGAAUUGAUAAAGCCUGUUUUAUUGAUGCUGUACAAGGAUAGUUCCUGUGCUCUAAAGAGCAUGGAGCUUGAUGCCUAAAGAUUGGUUGAAGGUUGGGGUUCAUAUCCUAACUCUACCAUUUAUUAACCUUAUUAUAGGUUAGCUUUCCCACCAAGCAGACACUGAGACCGGCUUUAAGCACAACAACUUCUGUGAAAAGUGAGACAGGUCAUGGAAGGAAACCGAUGUAAGCUCCGGUUAGCAGCCCUUAUAUAUGUGAUGUGGUCUGCUUAUAUGAGACACCUAUGGAAGCCGGAAACCUUUUCCUCCCACAUGGCAGCGCUGACCUAUGACCUGAUUUUAGAUCGCAGCGUGGGAGUGGUCAUCGCUGUGCGGGUCAGCGGCAUCGCUUUUUCGUCUUUAUUCGUGCAUAGCUGAUGUAUAACGCCAUAUGAGUUUCUGGUGUACAACAAGUGAUUCGGUUAUACAUACAUACAGACUCUUGCUCAUAUUCUUGCUUUUCCUUGAUGGUCUAUCACAGGAUACUGAAUAGAGUUCCCUGUGCUGGAUCUUAGGGUUCAGUUGUUUAUCCAUCCUGUGUAUAGUGGUUUGUAGCUGCUAAUCCCAAACUCCACUCCACCCGUCCCUACCCGCCUCGGCGGGUAGAGGAGUCUGUCCUCUCUGUCUGUGAAUCUGUUUCAUGGAUAAGUUGAUCCAUAUCCUAUUUUGGAUCCCAUGGGUAAGUGAUACCAUGUGGCAUUUGUCUUUCUCUGUGUGAUUACUUUGCUUGGUAUGACCAUUUCUAGGCCCAUCCAUGCUGCUGCAAGUGGCAUUGUUUCAUUCUUUUGUAUGGUGAGUCAGCAUCUUUUCACACUGACUUCAUGAAGACAGUUUGUGGCCAGUAGCAGAAAGUCGUGACACCCUGACACAGUCGCAGUGGCCAGCUGACCCAGGCAAGCCACAUACAGCCCAGAGCCCCGUCUUUUCAUCUUAAUAGGGAGGCGUUGGUACUGAAGGCUCAGGGAAGAGAAAGGAUCUGCCUGCCAAACAGGAGAUGCACGUUCGAUCCCUGGGUCGAGAAGAUCCCCUGGAGGAGGAAAUGGCAACCCACUCCAGUAUUCUUGCCUGGAGAAUCCCAUGGACAGAGGAGCCUGGCGGGCUACAGUCCAUGGGAUUGCAAAGAGCUGGGCGUGACUUAGCAGCUAAACGACAGCAUUGAUACUGAAUGGGGAGAACCAGGAGAAGAGAAUGUUUAUGAAAGAGUUCCAUAAAAAUGAAAAGUUUUAGUACUGUUCUUAUUACUCACUGCUGUGACCAGCUUGUCAUUCAAGCUUCCCCACUUCCAGCUGGGGUACAUGCCAGCCUCAAGGUGAUUGCUUUUUGAAUGAAGUACUUAGUUGGUUGUUUUUUUUUCCCCCACACACAAGGUACAUGCUAACAAUUAAAAACACAAUAUAGGCCAGUGUUCUCUUGAAAGCUAACGUCAUGGGAAAAAGUGAAAUCCUUCAACUGUAGAUGCCAGACACUUAGGAUGUCUUGGCAGUUGCUUGGCAUUGCAGUUUGCUUUCGAAAGCUUUUGCCAUUUAUAAGAACAAGGUAGCCUGAUAACCUUUGGUGUCCAAAAAUUCAAACUAAAUCAAAUAGACUCUGUGUAUUCCCAUGAAAUCUAAGAUUUUAUGGGAUAUGUGGGACAUUUCACCAUGAUAAAUGUGAUGUGCUGUUUCUUGUGACCUUUAGUUUUCUUUUUUUUAAAUGUAAUUUCAUGCAAUUUUAUUUACAUUUUAAAUUGGCGUGUAAUUGCUUUACAAUGUUGUGUUAAUUUCUGCUGUACUAUAUUGAGCAUCAGCUAUACAUAUGUACAUAUAUAUAUCCCUCCCUGAACAGGGUUGACCAGGGGAAUUGGGGCUGAGCUCUGAUCACCGUGGAAGGGUCCUGUUACCUUCUUGCCAUGGCAGAAUUUGUUACAGACCCAGGUAGUGGGUUUAGCCACCAAGUCGU
This is a long non-coding RNA of Bos grunniens (domestic yak), 2165 nucleotides long. The record is from Ensembl. NCBI's taxonomy places the organism in Eukaryota, Metazoa, Chordata, Mammalia, Artiodactyla, Bovidae.